RNAcentral lists this ribosomal RNA (772 nucleotides) under uncultured Neocallimastigales. RNAcentral's name for it is "partial large subunit ribosomal RNA". It matches the Rfam family "Eukaryotic large subunit ribosomal RNA", at positions 18 to 617 of the family's 3401-position model. Lineage: Eukaryota; Fungi; Neocallimastigomycota; Neocallimastigomycetes; Neocallimastigales. The record is from RNAcentral.
UCAGACGAUGCGUCAUGCAUAUCAAUAAGCGGAGGAAAAGAAACUAACAAGGAUUCCCCUAGUAACGGCGAGUGAAGCGGGAAGAGCUCAAAUUUGAAAUCUUAAAGGGUUUCCCUUUACGAAUUGUAGUUUAAAGAAGUGUUUUCUGUUGAGGUUUUGGUAAAAGUUCUUUGGAAUAGGACAUCAUAGAGGGUGAGAAUCCCGUAUUUGACCUUUACUUUCAACUUUGUGAUACACUUUCAAAGAGUCGGAUUGUUUGGGAAUGCAGUCCAAAAUGGGUGGUAAAUUUCAUCUAAAGCUAAAUAUUGGCGAGAGACCGAUAGCGAACAAGUACCGUGAGGGAAAGAUGAAAAGAACUUUGAAAAGAGAGUUAAACAGUACGUGAAAUUGUCAAAAGGGAAGCGUUUGACACCAGUGUUGUUUUUCUGAAAAUCAAUUAAAGAACUGUUUAUGCUAAGUUGUUUAGACUUUAUCAGCUAACUGUUUAGUUUUGAGCUUUUCUUUAAUGCACUUUUCAGUUAACAAGUCAACAUCAAUUUCUUUGCUGUAAAAAAGCUUGAGGAAGGUGGCUUGAGAUUCGUCUUAAGUGUUUAUAGCCUCUUGCCUAUGCAGUCGGAGAGAUUGAGGUCUGCAGCGUAGAUCCUUCGGGGCUAAAUGCAUUUGUGCUAAGUUAUAGCAUUUUAUAGACAACUUGUUGACUAUGAUUUGUCUUGUAGCUUACUCGCUUAUGUUAUUUUACCUACGCUUAGGAUGUUGAGCGCAUGUCUCUCUC